This 69-nucleotide transfer RNA is filed under the name Elephantulus rupestris (western rock elephant shrew). Its description in RNAcentral is "tRNA-Ser". It matches the Rfam family "tRNA". From Rfam's summary of the family: Transfer RNA (tRNA) molecules are approximately 80 nucleotides in length. Lineage: Eukaryota; Metazoa; Chordata; Mammalia; Macroscelidea; Macroscelididae. The record is from RNAcentral.
AAGAAAGUCGUGGUGGUCACGUGGUUGACUUGAAAUCAAUUAGUGGGGGUUCAAUUCCUUCCUUUCUUG